RNAcentral lists this long non-coding RNA (1010 nucleotides) under Triticum aestivum (bread wheat). Its description in RNAcentral is "long non-coding RNA (TAES_LNC003277)". Lineage: Eukaryota; Viridiplantae; Streptophyta; Magnoliopsida; Poales; Poaceae. The record is from RNAcentral.
UGAAGGCAGGGCGAGCAGAGGCAGGGGAGGACUGCUGGAUGUUGUCACCAUUGCCAUGCACCCCCUUGUGAAGUUUGUAAUCUUGGACGAGCAGAGUACCCAACUUCUCCAGGACAGAGUUCAGGGCCCUGUGGCUGCACUCACCAUGACCCCCUCCAUGAUCAGUUAACUUUGUGUGGGUGGCUGUGUACCAGUAGUAUAGGUGGAAUGCACUAACGAUAACAAACAGCUACUACAGUAGUAUAUUUGCUUGGUCAAUGGUGCAUGCACAGGAGGUGGUGGUGUGGCCCAACCAGAGGAGGUCGGUGCCUGCGCGAUGUGUUGCCAGAACGACGCAUAAGAAUUAAACUGAACAGAUUUUAGAUAUUGAACUGAACCGAAAGAAGAAACUUGACAUCACACAAACAUUCCCUAUUGGUUUGAGCUUUGUUUGUUUAGAUUUCUGAAGUCAUGCAACACUUAUACCUCAACUUGUGCGACACAUUUUUUAUUUAGUUGAAAGCGUCUAAUUUUUUCAGAAUAUGCUACAUGAAAAGAGGAAGGGAGAAGGCAUUGAGAUGCAUACCUAAAGCACACACGCAUCAAUCGCAUGGAUGCGCACAUGUGGUUGAUGGCGGCGUUGUGACCUGUGUGUGCUUGCUGCCUUGAAUGUCCAUCAAACGAAAAAAAGCUAGUGGUUCAAUUAGAAACACACAAUAGCAAUUUUGCCGAAUGCCAUCAAAUGAAAUUUGCAUGGUUCAAUUAGAAACACGCAGUAGCAAACAUAUUUGCAGAUUUUUUGUGUGUAUAAAAAUGCUAGUGGGUUAAAUUGAAAACAUGGACAGCGCCAUCACACAUUUUCUUUUAGUAUAUCUUCUCAUUUCAUCCUACAGUGCAUGUUUUGUGUUUAAGGAAGAAAAUGGAAAACAUAAAGGGAAUCGUACUUACGAUUGGGAAUUAGAUGUACUGAAUAGCUUACAUUAGAUGAACCGGAAAAAGUUCAAGCUCGAGAGCCUCACGAAGAAUUGGAU